AGUGAACGCUGGCGGUAGGCCUAACACAUGCAAGUCGAACGGCAGCACAGUAAGAGCUUGCUCUUACGGGUGGCGAGUGGCGGACGGGUGAGGAAUACAUCGGAAUCUACUUUUUCGUGGGGGAUAACGUAGGGAAACUUACGCUAAUACCGCAUACGACCUACGGGUGAAAGCAGGGGAUCUUCGGACCUUGCGCGAUUGAAUGAGCCGAUGUCGGAUUAGCUAGUUGGCGGGGUAAAGGCCCACCAAGGCGACGAUCCGUAGCUGGUCUGAGAGGGUGAUCAGCCACACUGGAACUGAGACACGGUUCAGACUCCUACGGGAGGCAGCAGUGGGGAAUAUUGGACAAUGGGCGCAAGCCUGAUCCAGCCAUACCGCGUGGGUGAAGAAGGCCUUCGGGUUGUAAAGCCCUUUUGUUGGGAAAGAAAAGCAGCAGGUUAAUACCCCGCUGUUCUGACGGUACCCAAAGAAUAAGCACCGGCUAACUUCGUG
RNAcentral lists this ribosomal RNA (492 nucleotides) under uncultured bacterium. Its description in RNAcentral is "partial 16S ribosomal RNA". It matches the Rfam family "Bacterial small subunit ribosomal RNA", at positions 29 to 507 of the family's 1533-position model. The record is from RNAcentral.